This 403-nucleotide ribosomal RNA is filed under the name uncultured bacterium. RNAcentral's name for it is "bacterial SSU rRNA". It matches the Rfam family "Bacterial small subunit ribosomal RNA", at positions 29 to 432 of the family's 1533-position model. The record is from RNAcentral.
AUUGAACGCUGGCGGCGUGCCUAACACAUGCAAGUCGAGCGGUAACAGGUGUAGCAAUACAUGCUGACGAGCGGCGAACGGGUGAGUAAUGCUUCGGAAUCUACCCAAUGGUGGGGAAUAACCAGCCGAAAGGUUGGCUAAUACCGCAUACGUCCUACGCGAGAAAGCAGGGGAUCGUAAGACCUUGCGCCAAUGGAUGAGCCGAAGUCGGAUUAGCUAGNGGUAGGGUAACGGCCUACCAAGGCGACGAUCCGUAGCUGGUCUGAGAGGACGACCAGCCACACUGGGACUGAGACACGGCCCAGACUCCUACGGGAGGCAGCAGUGGGGAAUAUUGGACAAUGGGGGAAACCCUGAUCCAGCGACGCCUCGUGUGUGAAGAAGGCCUGCGGGUUGUAAAGCA